Paramuricea clavata is the source of this 451-nucleotide non-coding RNA. Lineage: Eukaryota; Metazoa; Cnidaria; Anthozoa; Malacalcyonacea; Plexauridae. The record is from the annotation of a GenBank genome assembly.
UAAUUCAAAUAUUGCACUAUAAACCUUUCCAAUGACCACACUUAACAAUGAGCGCAAGAAGAAAUGUUCUUCUUGCUUCAAAACUAUUCAAAAAACACAAAAAUCAAUUGAAUGUCUCACAUGUAUGAAUCGGUUUCAUGCUGUGUCUGCAUGCACAAAAUCAUUCAACUCCUACAUAGGUAACAAUACGAUUGACUUGUGCCAAAAUUGCUUAGCUGAAUCUUUACCCUUCCAAACACUCGAUGAUUUAGAAUUUGAAUUUACGGUUUUAAAAGGAAUUAAUGUGAGGAAAGAUGAAAUGGAUAGACUAAGGCAUUUGAAAUUCAACCCUUUCGACACGAAUAAUAAUAUUGCGUUAUCGGAAAACAAUGCAAAUCUCGAUAAAUCGUCAAAAAUAAACUGUGAAUAUUAUCUACCAACUGAUUUUAAAGAACAAAUAAAUGAAACAAAC